ACAUAGGGUGCAAGCGUUGUCCGGAAUUAUUGGGCGUAAAGAGCUCGUAGGUCGUUUGUCGCGUCGAUUGUGAAAAUCUGAGGCUCAACCUCAGACCUGCAGUCGAUACGGGCAAACUAGAGUGUGGUAGGGGAGACUGGAAUUCCUGGUGUAGCGGUGGAAUGCGCAGAUAUCAGGAGGAACACCGAUGGCGAAGGCAGGUCUCUGGGCCAAUACUGACACUGAGGAGCGAAAGCGUGGGGAGCGAACAGGAUUAGAUACCCUGGUAGUCCACGCCGUAAACGGUGGGCGCUAGUUGUGCGAACCUUCCACGGUUUGUGCGACGCAGCUAACGCAUUAAGCGCCCCGCCUGGGGAGUACGAUCGCAAGAUUA
RNAcentral lists this ribosomal RNA (373 nucleotides) under uncultured bacterium. Its description in RNAcentral is "bacterial SSU rRNA". It matches the Rfam family "Bacterial small subunit ribosomal RNA", at positions 525 to 896 of the family's 1533-position model. The record is from RNAcentral.